AAUUAAAAAACAACUUAUCAAUCAAGUUGAUUAAUCCUAACAAAUAUAUGCCACUUCCAACAAUUAUACAUGAACUGAUCAUAGGUUAUUAUUGGAUUUGGAUCAAAAUAAAGUACCUUGGUUUUCUGAAAAGAAAGAAACUUCCUUCAAAGUGGAGAGUUACCUCUACAGAAGAUGUUGAAUGUAAGCAAACCUUUCUAUAAGUCUAUGCAAAACAAAAUCACUGAAGUUGCGACAAAGAUGCAUGACGCAAUUCCAAAGAAGAAAUCGGAAUACAAACUCGUGGAACUCACAACAAUGUUUGUAUGCAAGGCCUCACAAGAGGUUUCCGCAAUCUCACAAGACACUGGGUUUAGUCUAGACGAUCUUCUUCAUACUUUGUUUCGAUGACAUAAGCAAAUGGUGAUCAUGCUUCGAUCAGAUAGUGUUGCAUCACAAGCAUAAUUUGUAAGCAAAUACUACCUCUGUUCCUCAUAAUGCAUUGAUUCCACACCAGGUUUGUAGCUCUGUUGGAAUGUGUUGGUCUCAUUUGUACCUUUUCAUAAUUGUGACUUCGGUUUACUUCUCCAUGUAUUCAGUGAUGUCCCACAUGUAAAUAAGGCUAUCUAGCACCAGUCUACUAAUGCCAUUGCCGGAUUAACAUUGUGAAAAAUUUACAAAAAACUGGCAUUAAAAUUUCUAAAAGUGGAC
RNAcentral lists this long non-coding RNA (690 nucleotides) under Hordeum vulgare. Its description in RNAcentral is "long non-coding RNA (HVUL_LNC016538)". Lineage: Eukaryota; Viridiplantae; Streptophyta; Magnoliopsida; Poales; Poaceae. The record is from RNAcentral.